This 559-nucleotide long non-coding RNA is filed under the name Homo sapiens (human). Its description in RNAcentral is "HSALNT0291728". The record is from RNAcentral. Lineage: Eukaryota; Metazoa; Chordata; Mammalia; Primates; Hominidae.
UGGCUCUGUCUGAGGUCCCUUUGUUCAGGUCUCUUCUGAAGAAAGGCACCAGAGGCUCCAGCUCUGGCCAUAAUGCCCCAGAUGAAGCUUGACAGGAGAACUGGACACAACAGGCCAGAAUAUGCAUUCCAGGAGAGCAGGGAUAUUUGUUUUGUUCCCCGAUGUAUCCCCUGGAUCUAGCACAGGACUGGCAGGUUUCCCUAGGAUCACCAGCUGUCAUGGACUGAUUUGUGUCUCUCCAAAUUCAUAUGUUGAAUACUUAACCUGCCAUGCGAUUGUGAUUGGAGAUAAUUCCUUUAGGGAAGCAAUGAAGGUUAAAUGAGGUCAUAGGUGGGAGCUUAAUCCAAUGGGACUGGGGUCCCUACAAGAAGAGGAAGACACCAGAGCUCUCUGUCUCCACACACAGAGAAAAGAGGCUGUAUGAGGACACAAGAGAAGGUAAUAGCUGUCUACAAACCAAGAAGAGAAGCCUCUCCAGAAAAUGAACCCUGCUGGAACUUGGUCUUGGACUUUCCAGCCUCCAGAACUGGGAGAAAAUAAAGUUCAAAAUAAAGUUCUG